RNAcentral lists this long non-coding RNA (2199 nucleotides) under Pan troglodytes (chimpanzee). RNAcentral describes it as "bidirectional promoter lncRNA". Lineage: Eukaryota; Metazoa; Chordata; Mammalia; Primates; Hominidae. The record is from RNAcentral.
UCCGGAAGUUGGGACCCUUUUAGCUUUGAAAUAUUUUGGAUUGCGUAGAGUCUUGCGCAGCCGCGAAAAGUAGCGUGGGCCAAGACAGCGGGAGGUAAGUCGCCAAGAAAAGGGUUGGGAAGAGCUCAGAAUCGGACGGCUAGGAAGAAAUGACCCAAAGGAGCCUGAUAGAAAGCCCCCUAUUCUGCACGCUGUUCCUGGAAACCGCCUUUGCAAAGACAGUGAGAGAAAUCUAACAUGGCUCACUCCAUCUUGCUUCUAGCCUCUCAGGCCGGCUGUCUUCGCUCAUUCCUGGGCAUAAACCAAGCUAACCAUGGGAGAAUUUAUAGUUUAACUUUUAAGCAAGGAUGAUCAUAGUCCCUUCCUUAAACAGGGCUCCUCCUUGUUUGGGGGCUGAAACUGCCUUUAUAAAACUAAUGAAAGACCGGGAGGUUGGGAUUAUGAGGGGAGAAUUCUGCUAAAAUGUAGUAAACGAUAACCAGCCAUUGUUUCGGAGGACAUCGGAUAUGUAACUUCCCCAAUUAUUCCUGUAGAUAACGUUAUCGUAGCACCUAAGAUUGGUCUUUUGAGGCAUUUUUCAGACUUUCGCAUUUCUGGCAACUAACUGACCCCACCCAGACUCGUGACCCAUGACCCAACCGCUUCUUCUGCCCCACUCCUCCCCCAAGAGGCGGACUCAGCUGUUGAGGAGUGUAGUCCACACCCCUGUGAUUGCAUCUCCAACCAAUCAGCAGCACCCAUUCCCUAGUGCCCUGCCCACACCAAACUAUGAAAUACCCUAACCUCUGAGCUGACCCUUCAGGAAAACUUACUUGAGUGGUAACCCUUCUUCCCUGAGGCCAGCCUCAGGUUAAUACAACUCUAUACUGCAGUAGCACUUUUCAGUGAAUUGGUUUUGUCUGCAGUAAGCAGGAAGAACCUGUACUGCCAUUCAUUCCCAUAAGUGGAAAGUUCUUUCCAUUUAGAGCUUAAGGUGUUGUCACUUUCUCCAAGAAGCAGGUCUUGCCCUUGGCCUGGUGUGGUGGUUCAUGGCUGCAAUCCCAGCACAUUGCGGGGCGGAGGCGGGAGGAUUGCUUGAGCCCAGGAGUUCAAGACCAGCCUGGACAACAAAGUGAGAAUCAGUUUCUAAAUUAAAAAAUAAAAAUAAUUUUUUUUUGUUUUUUUGUUUUGAGACAGAGUCUUGCACUAUCACCCAGGCUGGAGUGCAGCGGCACCGAUCUUGGCUUACUGCAACCUCCGCCUCCCGGGUUCAGACGAUUCUCCUGCCUCAGCUUCCCGAGUAGCUGGGAUUACGGGUGCCCGCCACCAUGCCCAGCUAAUUUUUGUAUUUUUAGUAGAGAUAGGGUUUCACCAUGUUGGCCAGGCUGGUCUCGAACUCCUGACCUCAUGAUCUGCCCACCUCAGCCUCCCAAAGUGCUGGGAUUACAGGCAUGAGCCACUGUGCCUGGCCAUAAAAAUAAAUUUUUAAAAAUAGAAGCAGGUCUUCCCUGACUACCCUGUCUCACUUUUAGUACUGUAAUUUGACACUAUUUUAAUUCUCUCCAAUUGCAUAAGUUUUAUUUUUGUCUGUUGAUUUUCCAUUUUUCUCAUCAGCGUUAUUACUGGAGAACAGCAGGGUCCACCCAUCUUGUUUACUCUUACAUGCUCAGCGGAGAGGCAAUGCCAGAAUUACUAACAGUGCUAAAGUUACUAAGAUAAUUCAGUAAGGUGCUGGAUAUAAGAGGAAUAUAUGAAAAUUAUCUUUUUCUGCACUAACAACUACUAGUUAGAUACAGAAAUGAAAAAGUAGGCCAGGUGCAGUGGCUCACGCCUGUAAUCCCAAUACUUUGGGAGGCCAAGGCGGGCAGAUCACGAGGUCAGGAGAUCAAGACCAUCCUGGCUAACACGGUGAAACCCCAUCUCUACUAAAAAUACAAAAAAUUAGCCAGGCGUGGUGGCGAGCGCUUGUAGUCCCAGCUACUCUGGAGGCUGAGGCAGGAGAAUGGCGGGAAUCCGGCAAGCAGAGCUUGCAGUGAGCCGAGAUUGUGCCACUGCACUCCAGCCUGGGCAACAGAGCGAGACUCUGUCUCAAAAAACCAAAAAAAAAAAGAAAAGUAAUCCCUAAAAUGAAAAGAUAUCUAGGUACAAAAUUUAAAUGGUAACAUAAAAAUAAAAGAUAAUUUGAAGUAAAUUAAAUCUGAAUAAAUGGUGGAUAACCUA